This 411-nucleotide ribosomal RNA is filed under the name uncultured bacterium. RNAcentral describes it as "bacterial SSU rRNA". It matches the Rfam family "Bacterial small subunit ribosomal RNA", at positions 338 to 766 of the family's 1533-position model. The record is from RNAcentral.
CCUACGGGAGGCAGCAGUGGGGAAUAUUGCACAAUGGGGGAAACCCUGAUGCAGCGACGCCGCGUGGAGGAAGAAGGUCUUCGGAUUGUAAACUCCUGUUGUUGGGGAAGAUAAUGACGGUACCCAACAAGGAAGUGACGGCUAACUACGUGCCAGCAGCCGCGGUAAAACGUAGGUCACAAGCGUUGUCCGGAAUUACUGGGUGUAAAGGGAGCGCAGGCGGGAAGACAAGUUGGAAGUGAAGUCUAUGGGCUCAACCCAUAAACUGCUUUCAAAACUGUUUUUCUUGAGUAGUGCAGAGGUAGGCGGAAUUCCCGGUGUAGCGGUGGAAUGCGUAGAUAUCGGGAGGAACACCAGUGGCGAAGGCGGCCUACUGGGCACCAACUGACGCUGAGGCUCGAAAGUGUGGGU